UGAGGAAUAUUGGACAAUGGGCGAAAGCCUGAUCCAGCAACGCCGCGUGCGCGAUGACGGCCUUCGGGUUGUAAAGCGCUUUUAGAGGAGAUGAGAAAGGACAGUAUCCUCUGAAUAAGCCUCGGCGAACUACGUGCCAGCAGCCGCGGUAAUACGUAGGAGGCGAGCGUUGUCCGGAUUUACUGGGUAUAAAGGGUCCGCAGGCGGAUUGACAAGUCGAUGGUGAAAUCCUUCAGCUUAACUGAAGAGCUGCCGUCGAUACUGUUGAUCUUGAAUACAGGAGAGGGUAACGGAAUUCCAGGUGUAGCGGUGAAAUGCUUAGAUAUCUGGAAGAACACCGGUAGCGAAGGCUGUUGCCUGCCCUGGUAUUGACGCUCAGGGACGAAAGCGUGGGGAUCAAACA
This 403-nucleotide ribosomal RNA is filed under the name uncultured prokaryote. Its description in RNAcentral is "bacterial SSU rRNA". It matches the Rfam family "Bacterial small subunit ribosomal RNA", at positions 355 to 774 of the family's 1533-position model. The record is from RNAcentral.